This 72-nucleotide transfer RNA is filed under the name Babesia sp. Xinjiang. It matches the Rfam family "tRNA". From Rfam's summary of the family: Transfer RNA (tRNA) molecules are approximately 80 nucleotides in length. RNAcentral also lists the same sequence under 1 other name. Lineage: Eukaryota; Apicomplexa; Aconoidasida; Piroplasmida; Babesiidae. The record is from Rfam by way of RNAcentral.
AGCUAUAUAAUUUAAUUAUUAAAAUAUAUAAUUGCAGAUUAUAAGAUCUCAGUUAAAUCCUGAGUGUAGCUU